Long non-coding RNA from Salvia splendens (bonfire salvia), 339 nucleotides. RefSeq lists it as uncharacterized. The transcript is spliced from 2 exons. The record is from RefSeq and is a predicted model, not a curated record. Lineage: Eukaryota; Viridiplantae; Streptophyta; Magnoliopsida; Lamiales; Lamiaceae.
CUGAUGGGCUUUACUGCUGUUGGGCUUGUUUAGUACGUACUCCAUCAAUGGCCUUUACUACGCCGUUAACAACGCCGCCGCUCUCAAUUCUUCUCCUUAUCACAGCCCCCACGCCAUUAUCUGCUCCGAGAAUAAUCCAGAAAUAGUGAAGACAAGGUUGAGGCAAUGGGCGCAAGUGGUUGCUUGCACAGUGCUUCAAACUCCAAGAUAACUCCAGUGGUUGUAAAGGUUAUUUCUGUUAAAUAUGCAACAAAACUUUGAUGGUUGUAACUUGUAAGGGUUAUUUUGCACUAAACAAAUGCCGAAAUUAUUAAUUGAUAUAUUCAAAGUAGGCAACCA